This is a ribosomal RNA of 975 nucleotides. It matches the Rfam family "Eukaryotic large subunit ribosomal RNA", at positions 236 to 827 of the family's 3401-position model.
GACAGUUUUGCCCUGAGUAGACCUUGGAGUCGGGUUGUUUGUGAAUGCAGCCCAAAGUGGGUGGUAAACUCCAUCCAAGGCUAAAUACUAGCACGAGUCCGAUAGCGAACAAGUACCGUGAGGGAAAGUUGAAAAGUACUUUGAAGAGAGAGUAAACAGUGCGUGAAACCGCUCAGAGGUAAACGGGUGGAGUUGAACUGUAAGCUCCGGGGAUUCAGCUGGUGAGUGUGUCAUGGGCUUGGUCAUUUUCGGCCGGCCUCUAGAGUCCGCUUAGCUGCGGGUCCUUGCUUCUUCGGGAGUAGGGAUGUGCGUUGCGCUUGUCAAGUGCUGUGCGCUCUGGAGGUUGCCGGGCUGGCUCGCCGGUGCACUUUCUCGGAGUGGUCACCACGACCGGCGUUGUUGUCUUACUGCUGUAGUCAAACCGGUCAGGUUUGGUCCUUGUGGCUGAGCUUGAUCGGGAUGGCAGGUAACUCAUUGGUUGGCUUGUCCAGUCUUUGGGUGUAAUCAGCUGACUGCAGUGGUUCUGUGCAAUACGUCGGAGACGGCGGCUCGAGGUAUUUGCUUAUGUGCCGUUGGCUGGCAGUGUCGGGUUUGACUAGCGUGUUUACCUGCUUCGGUGGGUCCGUUGGUAGCCCGGUGCUGUUCGGUUGGCGGUUGCGUUUGUGAUACCGCUCAUGGGCCCAUAGUCUGUGGUGUAGCAGCAAACGAUCCACCUGACCCGUCUUGAAACACGGACCAAGGAGUUUAACAUGUGCGCGAGUCAUUGGGCGUUACGAAACCCAAAGGCGCAGUGAAAGUAAAGGUUCGGCUUGUCCGAGCUGUGGUGAGAUCCUGUGGCUUCUCGUGCGAGGUACCACCAAGCAUUUGAGCUAUAGGCGCAUCACCAGCCCGUCUCAUGGUGUAGUCAUGUAACCUCGUGUUGUGUGCAUCACCGGGGCGGAGCCUGAGCGCACAUGUUGAGACCCGAAAGAUGGU